Molecule: ribosomal RNA, 574 nt
Filed under: Arthrobacter sp. 15G-9
Lineage: Bacteria; Bacillati; Actinomycetota; Actinomycetes; Micrococcales; Micrococcaceae
Description: bacterial SSU rRNA
Rfam family: Bacterial small subunit ribosomal RNA
Source: RNAcentral
AGAGGGUGACCGGCCACACUGGGACUGAGACACGGCCCAGACUCCUACGGGAGGCAGCAGUGGGGAAUAUUGCACAAUGGGCGCAAGCCUGAUGCAGCGACGCCGCGUGAGGGAUGACGGCCUUCGGGUUGUAAACCUCUUUCAGUAGGGAAGAAGCGAAAGUGACGGUACCUGCAGAAGAAGCGCCGGCUAACUACGUGCCAGCAGCCGCGGUAAUACGUAGGGCGCAAGCGUUAUCCGGAAUUAUUGGGCGUAAAGAGCUCGUAGGCGGUUUGUCGCGUCUGCCGUGAAAGUCCGGGGCUCAACUCCGGAUCUGCGGUGGGUACGGGCAGACUAGAGUGAUGUAGGGGAGACUGGAAUUCCUGGUGUAGCGGUGAAAUGCGCAGAUAUCAGGAGGAACACCGAUGGCGAAGGCAGGUCUCUGGGCAUUAACUGACGCUGAGGAGCGAAAGCAUGGGGAGCGAACAGGAUUAGAUACCCUGGUAGUCCAUGCCGUAAACGUUGGGCACUAGGUGUGGGGGACAUUCCACGUUUUCCGCGCCGUAGCUAACGCAUUAAGUGCCCCGCCUGGGGG